RNAcentral lists this long non-coding RNA (220 nucleotides) under Capsicum annuum. RNAcentral describes it as "long non-coding RNA (CANN_LNC009730)". Lineage: Eukaryota; Viridiplantae; Streptophyta; Magnoliopsida; Solanales; Solanaceae. The record is from RNAcentral.
UAAUUACCUAUUCUGGUCUAAGUGCGACGGUCAGACCGACAGAUCAUCGAGCUAACAAUGGACCAUUACAAAUAUCGUUCUGCAUUUUAAAGACAUUUUUAAAAGGGAUUUUAGGUAUUCAUCCACCCUUUUUAACACCUAGAUAUAUCACAACGAAGCAUAGAACUUCAGAUCAUCCAAAAAAUCAAGAACUAGGAUUUUCUCUCAAGAUUAACCCUCA